AUUUCACAUAUUCUUCCCCGCACCUCCACACCCUCCCCUCCAAAUGCUCUAUUGGCAGUGCUUCUCAGCCUUGCACCGCCAUCGCACCUUAUGCCGCCGCCACACCUUGUGUUGUCGCCGCACUGAACCUCCAUUGCACUGAACUUCCAUCGCCCCGUCACACCCCUUCCCGGCUCUUCUAUGUGUGUUGCUCGCGUCAUUCCCUUUCGAACCUUAAUGUGCAUUUCUCUGCCACCAUCUUCGUCGCCUUUGUCUACCUUCGCGAUUUUAUAAAACUACAGCACCGAUCGUUCAUUCAGCGGCACUAACCAUAACCAAUGGCGUCCACCGAGCAGCUAUUGAAGAAGCGAAAGCACGACACUCUUCCGGAAUCUCCACUGCCACACCACCGCCGCUAGCACCGCCGCCACAAUCUCCUCAAACCCUAGCUCGUCUGCCUACUCCUCCUCCUCCGCCUCUGUCACGAGAUGAGGUCGUCACCAAGCAGAGGAACAAAGAUGAGGUUCGAAUCAUGUUUGAAAGCUACCGUCACAUCAAGCUCUUCUUGUAAAAGAAGGAAGGUGAUUUCAUCCAUGACCUUGAACAGAGCUUCUUCGCUCUCGUCAAUGCUUCCAGAGGUGGAGCUGCCAGGGAGGCUACAGUGUUAGGGUAUCAUAUUACUCCCUUGUUUUUGUACUAUGCGUAUCACGGACCUAUUUUUAGAGUCUUACUCAGAUUAAAUCGUGGCAAGAUUCAUGACAGUAGGCAUUAUGGCUAUAUUGGUUACUGCCACAAAUGUGGAAAUUCUCAUGAAUAUUCUCGGGAUCAACUUGGUCAGAUUAGUUGCUCUUGUAGUAUGCCAAUGAGAUUUAUCUCAGCUGAAUUUGGAGCAGACCCUACCAAGGUUCAAUAUAUGACCUGGAGGAUGGCCGUAAUUUAUACGCACCCAAACUCAAAAUUUGCUAGAUAGUUGAGGCCGAACGCAUUCCAUAUACCUACAUUUGCCGCAAUUUCUUCAUGAAGAUUUUGCUCCCUUCUCUUGUUCAGCCAGGCUUAAAUGCUCCUCCUAGUGACAAGGUUACCAUAUUUGGUGAUGGGAACACAAAAGGCGUAUUUGUUAAGGAAAAUGAUGUCGCUGCCUUCACUAUUAGCACAGUUGAUGAACCCCGUACCUUGAACAAAGUGUUGUACUUGAGACCCUCAGAAAACGUUUAUUCUCUGAAUGAACUAGUCGAGAUGUGGGAAACUAAAAUUGGGAAGAAGCUUGAGAAAUCACACGUCUCAGAAGAAGAACUGAUCAAGAAAAUCGAAGGGAUAUGAAGUUUCUACUUAUAUAUAGAGAAAUGUAAGGAAAACUUCUAAUUCAAUGCAUUAGGUGAGUGUUUGAUGUGUCUUGCAACCCUAGUUCAAUUUCUCUUGACUAGUUUUGCUGGUUUUGAGUACCAAAAUGGCAAAAUCAUUGUGGUAUCUAUUUGGAGUAUUUGGUUGGCUUGAACACAAUUCACAGACCUUCAAUUAUAAAUUCUUGGACUGACAAGUUUUAUGGGAUAUGAUUAGAUGCUUGGUAUCUAUUUGGUGUAUAAAUUCUUGAACACAAUUCACACACCUUAAAUACUUAUAUCUGAAAUAGUUUUUGCAGAUGUGGUAUGAAUAUCUGCUCUUUAUAUUCAACUUAUUUCUUAAACAUGCUCAUCAUCGUCAAGAUUAAAUGCUUCCAAUUAGUUCUAAAAUGAUAUAGUAGUGAAUUAUUUUGGCAGAUUCAGGACCAAUUUGAGAUAUUUGAUCUUUCAGGACUAUUUUGACUAUUAAUACUAUUUGUGAUGCUGGGCUUUUCCUAAGGUAUGUAUAUGUUGAUCUUGGACUUCUUAAUUGGCACAAAUCUGCCUUGGAAACACAACAAAUGUUCUUGAAAUUCUUAAUGUCAUGUUUGUUGCCAUAUUUAGCAGAAAGUAAUUAUCAACUGGCAAACUAAAAAUAUUUGGAUAUAGUUAGUAUUGUCCUAUUUAUUGGAUUGGUCAAAAUAUGUUCUUGUCAUAGUGGCUCUAAAGUACCAAAUUAGCAAAAUGAAAUCAAAAUCUACUAUGUAGAAUCUUGAAGUUAUUAUGAGUUAGUAAACUUUAAAAGCAUGAAAAAUGAAGGAUAAUAAUGUACAAAUGCCUGUUAGUUAUAUAUAUUUUGUAGGGGUGAAAAUGGAGAAUUGAGAUUGGGAAUCAGAAGAGCUGUUCGACCAAGAAAUGGUCUUCCUGAGUCUAUUGUUGGUAACCAGAGUUGUUAUCCCAAUUUCCUUUCUUCUGUGGCCUAAUGCUAUAUCAGCAAAAAGCAUGUUUCAUGUUUUCUACAGUCCAAGGGCAACUCAUGCAGAUUUUGUUGUAUCCUAUCAAAAGUAUGCCAAAAGCAUCAAGAAUCCGGUGACCAUUGGCACAAGAUUCAAAGUGAAAUUUGAAAUGGAUGAAUCACCUGAAAGAAGGUGUACUAGUGGUAUAGUGACUGGAAUGAGUGAUUUGGAUCCAUACAGAUGGCCUAAAUCAAAAUGGAGGUGCUUAAUGGUCUUGUACCAUAAACUUAUUUACUUUUUGACUGAUUACAAACUGAUUUGGAAGAGGAAAAGGCACAUGAAAUUGCCAAGUUACAGGAUGCUUUGCAUGCAAUGGUGAGCUUCACUUAUUUAUCUUUCUCUUUUUCUUCUAUUAAACUUGCAGCCCCAAAUCGAAAGUCACUGGAACUAGACCAGAUGUUAAGAAUUUGAUACUUGGAAAACAGAUGAGAAAUGGAAAAAUCUAAGGAGGCAGAGAAGCCUGAGGCAGAGGAUCAAUUCAUGACCCCACUUUUUGAAUCAAUGGACACAAUAAUGAUGAAUGGUUUCUGCACAGAUGAAGUUCCAAUUUUAGAACCUAAUUAAGCAACCUUAUUGUAUAUUUUGACUUAAUUAGAGGACAAUAGUUGAUGUAUCAAUACACUUUGUUGAUGUAUGGUUGUUACUUGUUAUUAUAAUUGAUGUAUCAACACUUUGUUUAUAUUUUGAAAUAUAUUGACUUGUUUGUUUAUAGUAAUUUUCUUUUA
Molecule: non-coding RNA, 3039 nt
Organism: Arachis ipaensis
Lineage: Eukaryota; Viridiplantae; Streptophyta; Magnoliopsida; Fabales; Fabaceae
Source: RefSeq, a predicted model, not a curated record